This 497-nucleotide ribosomal RNA is filed under the name uncultured bacterium. Its description in RNAcentral is "partial 16S ribosomal RNA". It matches the Rfam family "Bacterial small subunit ribosomal RNA", at positions 28 to 507 of the family's 1533-position model. The record is from RNAcentral.
GAUGAACGCUGGCGGCGUGCCUAAUACAUGCAAGUCGAGCGAACGGACGAGAAGCUUGCUUCUCUGAUGUUAGCGGCGGACGGGUGAGUAACACGUGGAUAACCUACCUAUAAGACUGGGAUAACUUCGGGAAACCGGAGCUAAUGCCGGAUAAUAUUUUGAACCGCAUGGUUCAAAAGUGAAAGACGGUCUUGCUGUCACUUAUAGAUGGAUCCGCGCUGCAUUAGCUAGUUGGUAAGGUAACGGCUUACCAAGGCAACGAUGCAUAGCCGACCUGAGAGGGUGAUCGGCCACACUGGAACUGAGACACGGUCCAGACUCCUACGGGAGGCAGCAGUAGGGAAUCUUCCGCAAUGGGCGAAAGCCUGACGGAGCAACGCCGCGUGAGUGAUGAAGGUCUUCGGAUCGUAAAACUCUGUUAUUAGGGAAGAACAUAUGUGUAAGUAACUGUGCACAUCUUGACGGCACCUAAUCAGAAAGCCACGGCUAACUACGUG